AAGGUGUACACAUUCAACGUAAGCUUCACAGACAGCACCAUUGCUUUAGGCAAUGUGUGUUUCCAGGUUAACACGGUUGUCGCCGAGAUUGGUGAUGGAGGUCAGGUUCCAAUUUCACCCAGUGGAUCCCAACCUUCAUCAAUUUCGUCUGCGUGGGCUGCAUCCAAGUCUACAUCAGCAGACUCUGUCCCAACUGGAGGUACCUCUUCUCAGACACCACAGAGCACCAAAAACUAUAGCAAGGAUAAGCGUGCAAGAUCGCCAACGCCACUAUCAAAAGGUGGGUCCUCAGCUACCAGGCAGGUUGCGAGGAAGAUAUUGGGAGGCUCACCUGAUAAAACUGGUGAUGGCCAUGACUUGGCUUCCGG
This 368-nucleotide unclassified non-coding RNA is filed under the name Zea mays. Its description in RNAcentral is "misc RNA Zm00001eb210300". Lineage: Eukaryota; Viridiplantae; Streptophyta; Magnoliopsida; Poales; Poaceae. The record is from RNAcentral.